AGGACGAACGCUGGCGGCGUGCUUAACACAUGCAAGUCACGGGGGCCCGUAGCAAUACGGGCAACCGGCGAACGGGUGCGUAACACGUGAGCAAUCUGCCGAUCUCUGGGGGAUAGCCAGCCUAACGGCUGGGUAAUACCGCAUACGCUCGUUGGGGGGAGUCCCCUGAUGAGGAAACCUCUGGGGGAGAUCGAGGAGCUCGCGACCUAUCAGCUAGUUGGCGGGGUAACGGCCCACCAAGGCAGCGACGGGUAGCUGGUCUGAGAGGAUGGCCAGCCACAUUGGGACUGCGACACGGCCCAGACUCCUACGGGAGGCAGCAGUGGGGAAUAUUGCGCAAUGGACGAAAGUCUGACGCAGCGACGCCGCGUGUGGGAUGAAGCCUUUCGGGGUGUAAACCACUGUUGCCCGGGACGAACUCCUCUUUCGAGAGGAUUGACGGUACCGGGUGAGGAGCACCGGCUAACUCUGCGCCAGCAGCCGCGGU
Molecule: ribosomal RNA, 487 nt
Filed under: uncultured bacterium
Lineage: Bacteria
Description: SSU rRNA
Rfam family: Bacterial small subunit ribosomal RNA
Source: RNAcentral